RNAcentral lists this long non-coding RNA (283 nucleotides) under Phoenix dactylifera (date palm). Its description in RNAcentral is "long non-coding RNA (PDAC_LNC010784)". The record is from RNAcentral. Lineage: Eukaryota; Viridiplantae; Streptophyta; Magnoliopsida; Arecales; Arecaceae.
UAGACUCAAUUUUUUAAACGAAAUCCUAAAAGAUAAGAAGAAGGGCUAGACCAAGAUGACCACAAUCAACACCACACAACAAUUUGACCCUAUUAGUCUUAGAGCUAAGUGAGGUUUAGUAGCUUCUUAAAUCUAGUUGCACAGAGACUUAUCAGGUUAAAAAAGUUUCUGAAAUUCUCUCUAGAUUAGACAGCUACUAAUCUCCCUUUCAGAUUAAGCUUGAGCUUACCAGUUAAGUGAUCCAGUAACCAGUGACCAGAAAAGUCCCGGGGUGUGCAGUGGU